This 4984-nucleotide long non-coding RNA is filed under the name Triticum aestivum (bread wheat). Its description in RNAcentral is "long non-coding RNA (TAES_LNC026484)". Lineage: Eukaryota; Viridiplantae; Streptophyta; Magnoliopsida; Poales; Poaceae. The record is from RNAcentral.
UUAUCCACUCGCUUUCCCACAGGCAAAGCAGUAACUUCUCCACGGCCGGCGAACGCCGCGACGUUGAUCUGCUUGCAUGUCGGAGCAGGAGGGUCCGGGACAUCCCCGCAAGCUGGCUCAUCCAGCCGGUUGUCUUAGUCGGCGAGCGCUCCGUGGUCGCCCCGGCGCGGCGCUCGUCAGCGAACUGCGCACCAGCCCUGCGGCCACGGCGUCGCUCGCCCCGCGCGGCGCUCGUAGGCGAGCUUCGCGCCGUUCCUGAGGUCGCAGCCUCCGUCGCCCGGUGCGGCGCUCGUCGGUGAACUACGCGCCGUCCCUCCUCGGCGGUCACCUUCGUGGCCCUGUUCGCCGCGUCCACCGCGACCCAGCUACUGAGCUUCCAAGACUUGCCGUGCUAGAAGGUACGAUCGUCCAAUUACUCAACUAGAUGGUUGCUGCUCUUCUAAUUUCUCAACCAAAUGCUUCUUUUGUCCGUGUGAGGUGGGUGAGAUGCAAGCAACUAUGCUUUUGGUCUGACUUGAUUAAGCUACGCAUGUCAAUCAACCAAUACACUUACACCUUAAAUCUAUGCUUUUGGACAUCAAGUAUGCAUUGCUCUCACUUAAUUAAGUUGUGCAUUCGAUCGAUAUGCACAGACUCCCCAUAAAUCCAGCAAUAUAAUACAAGUUUUUAGGAUAGCCAAAAAAAAUAUGAGUCUCUGACAACGAUGGCAGAUUAAGUUGGCUUCUGUUGUUGGAAGAAGACUUGAUUUUGACCUGUCAUUGUACCAACGGAUGGCUGCAGUGAAGCAUUUGAUGUUGGGUGUCCUAUCAUCGUACCAAUGGACGACUGCAGCGAGGCAUUCGGAGCUGGGCGUCCUCUCAUCGUACCAACAGAUGGCGGCAGCGAGGCAUUUAGAGCUUGGUUCAUCGUACCAAUGGACGACUGCAGCGAGGCAUUCAGAGCUGGGAGUCCUCUCAUCGUACCAACGGAUGGUUGUAGCAAGGCAUUUGGAGCUGGGUGUCCUCUCAUGGUCCCAAGAGAUGGCAAUAGUGAGACAUCCAGAGCUGAUUUGCAUUGUUCUGAAUAGGUAUAAACGUGAUUUGUCGGAACCCCCAAAUGACCCUGUGAGUAGUAGUAGCAAACAUUAGUGUCCAUAAAUCUUUAAAAUGAUAAAACGGAAAUAUGAGUGUAGGUAGCUUGUACCAUUAAGCUAUUGUAAUGUUGCAAUUCAGCUGGCAAUCUUUGGUCUUGUCCAUACAUCGCCAUAGGAUUUAGGAUUGGGUUGUACUGUGGUAGAUAUGCAGGCAUUUGAUUCAUAAAAACCUUCGAAUGACCCUAUAAGAAAUGGUGAGAUAAAUCUAGUAUAACUUAAGUUUUUAUAUCAGAUCAAGUGUGAAUUUAUUUAUACCAUUGAGGUGCCAUGAGGUUGUAGUGCUACAGGAUUAUCUACUUUCCUUUUCCUCUUUGAUUUUGCUUUCUCUAAGCCACCAAUAGGUCUACUUUCUCCUUGAGUAGUCUUCUCCUUCAACUUGAUACCUUUUGGCUUAGCAAGCCCCUUAUUUUGUUUUGAACUUGUAGAUGAGUUAAUGUUUGGUUCUGUAAAUAUAUAUUUAAAUAAAAUUCAAGUUUGAUAACAUUAUAAAACUACACACCCAUAUCAGCGGGUCUACUUGACCCUCGAACAGUCUUCUUUUUAAACUUAUUACCUGUUGGAUUGGCAAAUCCCUCAUUUUGUUCUGAACUUGUAGACGAGUUAAUGUUUGGGUCUGCAACUGUAAAAGCAAUAUAUUUUAGUUUGAUAAGAUCAUAAAACUAAACUUACAGACCUUGUGCCAAGGGAGUUACAUAUAUCUGGAUGUCUGUUUGAUCCUCGAGUUGUCUUCUCCUUCACCUUCAUUCCUUUUGGCUUGGUAGGCCUCUCAUUCUGUUCUGAACUUGUAGUGGUCAUAUUGUUUGAGUCUGCAACUAUAAAAGUAAAAUUUAAGCUUGAUAAGAGCAUAAAACUGAAUGUACAUACCUUGUGAACAAACAGAGUUACCUGUAUCUGGAUCAGAUCUAUGUUUUAGACAUUUCUCCACAUCUUCUGCUAAUUUCUCUACAUAAUUAGCAGCCAUCAAGUAUGACUCUUCAGACUCUGCGGCUCGAGCAGCUAUUUGGAUAAACAUUCUGCACAACUCUUUAUAGCGUUUUGUCAGUAUUGCUUUGCGGUCUUCAUGCAGGUUGUAGUUGCUUGUUAUAUCCAAAACUUUUGCAUCAAUUGUCCAUCUUUUCAAGAUGUACUAUUGAGGGAUGUGCUUGAUAUUAUUAAUGUCAAGUACCUUCAAGGAAUGAGAGCAAAGAAUUCCAGCAAAUUCAAACUUCUUGCAACUACAAUUGACCUUUUCUUCUUUCGGAAAAAAAUUAACAACAUGAUCACGCUCUGUACCAUGGAAUUUUACUUUGUAAACCUUCUCCUCGGUGUCACUGUCAUCACAAAGGAAUGUGUCAUAGUUUAAGGUCCGAAGCACUUGUUCCUGAAACAUCUUGAAUAUUGGUGGUGUAUAUGUAGUUGAUGCUUGCCUCAACAUAUAGCUUUCUGCCUUCAGCUUGGGAGUACUUUGUGUUGCUUUGAAGUCACAUCUCACCUCUUCAAAUCUUUUAUCUGCAACUAGACGUUCGAAAUGCUCAAAAAAAGUAAGCAUGUCAUACUUAGAACUAAUGUAACGUUUUAGUUCGUUGUUCAUGCUUUCGCUCCUUUGGGUACUGCUCAUGUGUGCAGAGAAAGUAUUCCUGCCAUACACUAGGGCCCAAUGCUCCCUUUUUUCAAAUAACCUUUGGAGCCAUGCAUUGUCCCGGAGUUCAUACUUGUCAAGCAUUUCAAUCCAUGCACUUAUAAAUUCAUCUUCCUCCUCAAUAUCAUAGAUACAAUGCUGAAAAUCAGCAUUGAACUUCUUGUAAUCUGUAACAACUCCACCAAUUUGUUUGACAACAUUUUGAUUCAUAUGCCACACGCAAAGUCUAUGGUGAGAGUGAGGCAGGACUGAGCGGAUCGCCUUAGCCAUUGCUGCAUCUUCGCCAGUUAGAAUUGUAUGUGGAUGCUUUCCAGACAUUACUCUUAAAAAUGUUCUAAAAAGCCAAGCAAAACUUUCCGCUGUUUCAUCAUAGAGAAGUGCAGCACCAAACACAAUUGUUUUUUUGUGAUUAUUCACGCCAACAAUUAAACCAAACGGACGCCCAUCGUCUAGUUUCCUGUCUGUGGUGUCAAAGCAUAUGACAUCACCAAAUAAUGCAUAGUCUGAGACCAUUUUGGAGUCCGUCCAAAAUAUAUUAGUUAUCAAAUCAUCCUCAUCAACUUGAAUUGAAUAAAAAAACUUGACAUCUUCUGAAACCUUCUUCUCCAUAUAUUCUAACACUCCACCCGUGUCACCCACCUUUACUUUUAGUGUUCUCUUUGAGUACAAACAAUUUUUCAUGUCAGUACUUAUAAAGCCAAGGUUUUCAGGUCCACAUGCUUCUUUCGUCAUUAGAUCAAUAGUUGCUUUAUUUGAAAUGCCCACUGACUUUGCAACCUCGGCAUUGGCUAGUUGAGCUUCAGUUACUUUCCUGUGUGAUCUUAAGUAUUGCGACAUGUUUCCAGUAGCAAGACUAUGGUUAUGGGCUUCUUUAAAUUCGUAUACAUAAUAAAUCCUGUUAUUAAGACUUAUCUUCAUACGUGCAUCACAACCACAUCGUGUCUCAGGCCUACUAUAACUGAAUUUCUCCUCUCUUUUAUCUUCCGCACGAACUCCUAUUAGUUGAAGUAAUUUUCUUAGUCGCAUCUAAAAAUUCAAAUGACGAGAGCAAGUUAGAACUAAUCCAUACCUUGACGAGAACAUGUGAAUGUCCGUUGUUGUAUUGUACUGGAUUUUUUUACUUUAUGAUGAUUGCCUCUUCGGAUGCUAAAACCCAAGGAAUAAGCAUACUUGUUAUAGAAGGAAUAUGCUUCUUCUUCAGAUAAAAACUGCAUGCCAAUCUUUGGCACCCUUUUUUCAAUCUGCUCUGUUGCAUUGCUAGCUGUAGUUUCUUCGACCCCCUGUUUAAAUUAGUACUCACUUUAGCAAUUGGUUCAAAUACAAGGAAAAGGAGAAGAAAACAUAUAUGUGUUGUAAAUCAGCGAUAACCUCGCUAUGACUAUUUAUUUCGAUGUCACAGUACAAUGGAAAGGAGAGGAAUCUGUGUUGUUUUCCCAUUCUGAACAAGGUGGUUAAUAAUUUCAAUCUUCUGACUACGCAUUCGCAACUAAUCAGAGGUAUGUCUUUGCCCCUCGAACCAUUACAUUUCUCUUGUAUGUACAACAUCAGUGUCAGUUUUUCAUUUAUAUGUACCCAUCAGUAAUACAACUAUGUAUUGUGCGAUCUGUGCAAGACAUGUUAGCUGGAUAUUGGCGCACUAGGAAUAAGAAAUAUACGCAUCUGCUAUCUAGUUUCAUUUUGCUACGUGGUCCCACUGACAGCAAUCACAAGAACCUGAAAGUCAUAGAUCUGUUUCAUUGCAGGAUUGGGAGAAGACUGUUGGGUCAGAGAAAAAGGAAGAACGCAAUGGAAACAAGAUGGCUUACAUUUGGGGGAUCUGAUUCCUCAUUGGUUCCGGCAAGAAUUGGUGAAGAAGCCAUCAAGUUCCUCCAGCAAGUCCCUUUGUUGGAUCUGUGUUCAUAGGUAGAUUUGAUGAAGAAGCGUAUAGUUUGGUUUGUUUCGUACUCUAUGUGCGGGAAAAGUUCACCGCCAAUGCUUUUGGCGGGCAAGACAUAUUUAUUUCCCUCUAAAUCUCUGUUCUAUUGCGUUAAUUACGUUGCGUAGAGAAAGUCUGGAGCGGCCGGUUUUAUUUAAUUGCUGGGUUUUUAAGGAAAAAAGAAGGAAAUAGCGUGGGUCGUUAGAUGAGCGCCGCGUAGGAGGGAGCACCGAUGGGAGUAUUUUCGCGGAGCAGGCAAGCCCCGUCCGGGGGGCAGGGACGCAGUUCAGAUCUGUGCAUGUAGCAACGAACUGACGAC